Molecule: transfer RNA, 71 nt
Filed under: Stegodyphus mimosarum
Lineage: Eukaryota; Metazoa; Arthropoda; Arachnida; Araneae; Eresidae
Rfam family: tRNA
About the family: Transfer RNA (tRNA) molecules are approximately 80 nucleotides in length. Their secondary structure includes four short double-helical elements and three loops (D, anti-codon, and T loops). Further hydrogen bonds mediate the characteristic L-shaped molecular structure. tRNAs have two regions of fundamental functional importance: the anti-codon, which is responsible for specific mRNA codon recognition, and the 3' end, to which the tRNAs corresponding amino acid is attached (by aminoacyl-tRNA synthetases). tRNAs cope with the degeneracy of the genetic code in two manners: having more than one tRNA (with a specific anti-codon) for a particular amino acid; and 'wobble' base-pairing, i.e. permitting non-standard base-pairing at the 3rd anti-codon position.
Source: Rfam by way of RNAcentral
GCCUUCGUGGUGUAAUGGUAGCACAUUCGGCUCACAUUCGAGAGGCCCAGGCUCGAGUCUCGGCAAGGGCA